AUUGAACGCUGGCGGCAGGCCUAACACAUGCAAGUCGAGCGGAUGAAGGGAGCUUGCUCCUGGAUUCAGCGGCGGACGGGUGAGUAAUGCCUAGGAAUCUGCCUGGUAGUGGGGGAUAACGUCCGGAAACGGGCGCUAAUACCGCAUACGUCCUGAGGGAGAAAGUGGGGGAUCUUCGGACCUCACGCUAUCAGAUGAGCCUAGGUCGGAUUAGCUAGUUGGUGGGGUAAAGGCCUACCAAGGCGACGAUCCGUAACUGGUCUGAGAGGAUGAUCAGUCACACUGGACCUGAGACACGGCCCAGCCUCCUAGGGGGGGAGGCAGGGGGGAUUUUUGGACAAUGGGCGAAAGCUUGACCCAGCCUUGCCGGGUGUGUGAAGAAGGUCUUCGAAUUUUAAACCAUUUUAAGUGGGGAGGAAGGGCAGUAAGUUAAUCCCUUGUUGUUUUGACGUUCCCAAAAAAAAAAGCCCCGGCUAACUUCGUG
This 484-nucleotide ribosomal RNA is filed under the name uncultured bacterium. RNAcentral's name for it is "partial 16S ribosomal RNA". It matches the Rfam family "Bacterial small subunit ribosomal RNA", at positions 30 to 507 of the family's 1533-position model. The record is from RNAcentral.